Molecule: ribosomal RNA, 465 nt
Filed under: Salmonella enterica
Lineage: Bacteria; Pseudomonadati; Pseudomonadota; Gammaproteobacteria; Enterobacterales; Enterobacteriaceae
Also listed under: 1 other name
Description: bacterial SSU rRNA
Rfam family: Bacterial small subunit ribosomal RNA
Source: RNAcentral
AAAUUGAAGAGUUUGAUCAUGGCUCAGAUUGAACGCUGGCGGCAGGCCUAACACAUGCAAGUCGAACGGUAACAGGAAGCAGCUUGCUGCUUCGCUGACGAGUGGCGGACGGGUGAGUAAUGUCUGGGAAACUGCCUGAUGGAGGGGGAUAACUACUGGAAACGGUGGCUAAUACCGCAUAACGUCGCAAGACCAAAGAGGGGGACCUUCGGGCCUCUUGCCAUCAGAUGUGCCCAGAUGGGAUUAGCUGGUUGGUGAGGUAACGGCUCACCAAGGCGACGAUCCCUAGCUGGUCUGAGAGGAUGACCAGCCACACUGGAACUGAGACACGGUCCAGACUCCUACGGGAGGCAGCAGUGGGGAAUAUUGCACAAUGGGCGCAAGCCUGAUGCAGCCAUGCCGCGUGUAUGAAGAAGGCCUUCGGGUUGUAAAGUACUUUCAGCGGGGAGGAAGGUGUUGUGGUUA